RNAcentral lists this ribosomal RNA (524 nucleotides) under uncultured bacterium. RNAcentral's name for it is "partial 16S ribosomal RNA". It matches the Rfam family "Bacterial small subunit ribosomal RNA", at positions 28 to 523 of the family's 1533-position model. The record is from RNAcentral.
GACGAACGCUGGCGGCGUGCCUAAUACAUGCAAGUCGAGCGCAGGAAACUGACGGAACUCUUCGGAGGGAAGGCAGUGGAAUGAGCGGCGGACGGGUGAGUAACACGUAAGGAACCUGCCUCAAGGAUUGGGAUAACCCCGAGAAAUCGGAGCUAAUACCGGAUAGUUCAACGGACCGCAUGGUCCGCUGAUGAAAGGCGCUUCGGCGUCACCUUGAGAUGGCCUUGCGGUGCAUUAGCUAGUUGGUGGGGUAACGGCCCACCAAGGCGACGAUGCUUAGCCGACCUGAGAGGGUGAUCGGCCACACUGGGACUGAGACACGGCCCAGACUCCUACGGGAGGCAGCAGUAGGGAAUCUUCCACAAUGGACGAAAGUCUGAUGGAGCAACGCCGCGUGAGUGAUGACGGUUUUCGGAUCGUAAAACUCUGUUGUAAGGGAAGAACACGUACGAGAGGAAAUGCUCGUACCUUGACGGUACCUUACGAGAAAGCCACGGCUAACUACGUGCCAGCCGCCGCGGUAA